UUUAUUAAGAUGACUAAAAGCAAUCAAAAACAAGGGAUGAGAAAAAUACAAACAUUUAAGAGAUAAAAUGUGCAAUACAGAAAAUACUUAAAUUUUAAUUAAAGUACAAACUAUUUAGACCAGACUUCAAAAUAAUGCUGAUUACUUAGUGGAAAAAAAUAAAUGUAUCAAAACUGGGUGAGCAGUUUUAAUAGGAAGUCCAGAUUUCAUCCAUCCAUCCAUUACUUAUACGCCACUUAAUCCUGAUUCGGGUAGCAGGGGGCUGGAGUCUAUCCCAGCUGAAUUAAGUGAAGGCAGGAGACACCCUGGACAGAUCACCAGUCUACCGCAGGGCUACAUAUAGAGACAAACAAUCACACUCACUUUCACACCUACGAACAAUUUAGAAUUACCAAUCAACCUCAGCAUUUCUUUGAACUGUGGGACGAAGUCAGUGCCCAGAGAAAACUCACAUGCACAGGGAGCACAUGCAAACUGCAGACAUGCAGAAAGAUCCCGGGAACGCGGGGACACAAACUGGAGAUCUUCCAACUGCAAGACGAACGUCCAAGUCACUGUGCACCCAUCCAGAUUUUGUGUUAAAUUACUUUUGUGCCAGUCUCACCAGUGAAGCACAUAAACCAGUUAAACCAAUUGUGUUAUAUAUGUUUUUAGGCGGCUGCACAGUGGGGUAAUGGUUAGCACUUUUGCCUUGCAACAAGAAGAUCCCGGUUCAAAUCCUGGGGUGGGCCUGGGAUCUUUCUGCAUGGAGUUUGCAUGUUCUCCCUGUGCAUGCGUGGGUUUUCUCCGGCUUCCUCCCACAGUCCAAAAAUAUGCUGAGGUUAAUUGAUCUCUCUAAAAUUGCCUGUAGGUGUGAAUGUGUGUGUGAUUGUUUGUCUGUAUAUGUAGUCCUGCGAUAGACUGGCAACCUGUCCAGGGUGUCCCCUGCCUUCACCCGAGUCAGCUGUGAUAGGCUCCAGCACCCCCUGCGACCCUAGUGAGGACAAAGCAGUGUAUAGAGAAUGGAUGGAUAAAUUUGAGAGGAGCGUAAAGGAAGUAGGAACACAGCUGUCUCCUGGAACCUUGUGGUUAGUUUGUUACUUCCACAUAUGGGACAUACUCCCUCAGAUACAAUGCAAUGGGUUGUUUUUCAGUUAGAUAAGUCAUGCACAGGCCAAACAUCGAGCACAGUUCACACAGCAGUCUCAGUGGAAAAAAUACUGUUACACUAUUCAGUCUUCAUUAUGAUUCUGGAGUUCAAGUUCUUCCAUUAAAUGAUUAAUUUAAAAUAAAGCUUUUCAAUCUUUCAAUAGAAUAAAACUUUUCAAUCUUUCAAUAUGUACUCCAAAAAUAUGCAAGUUAUAACCUUUUGUUGUUGACAAACAGUAGCUGCCUGCAACCUGCAGAUGGCGCUGUUGUCUGUGAGAGAAAUGAGACUUAACGUGGACACUUGAAAUGAAAAAACUUCAAAAGAUAGUGUAUGUAAAACGGUCUGUAUAAGUUUCAGGAUUGAUUAAAGUCUUUUGAAAGCAUCAAACUUAAAUUACUUAAAGGACAACUUCAAACAUUUAAACCUACUAUAACUCUAUCAGUGUAUUACUGCAAAGACUUUCAUUCUGUUUUUGAAUAUGACACCAAAUGUAGGCAUGACGGUAGGAGAAUCCAUAUGAACAGCAGAUAAAAUUGUGC
Acanthochromis polyacanthus (spiny chromis) is the source of this 1668-nucleotide long non-coding RNA. RefSeq lists it as uncharacterized. The transcript has 2 exons. The record is from RefSeq and is a predicted model, not a curated record. NCBI's taxonomy places the organism in Eukaryota, Metazoa, Chordata, Actinopteri, Pomacentridae.